Long non-coding RNA from Dama dama (fallow deer), 1019 nucleotides. RefSeq lists it as uncharacterized. The transcript is spliced from 3 exons. The record is from RefSeq and is a predicted model, not a curated record. NCBI's taxonomy places the organism in Eukaryota, Metazoa, Chordata, Mammalia, Artiodactyla, Cervidae.
UGUCUGGGUCAGUUUCAACGAGCUCCUUUUUCUGUUUCAAAUAUACAGUGACUUUACCCAGCUGGAGCAAAACCAGGGACGUGGAGAGGGGUCUAUAGGGCCUUCCAGUCUAGAUAAACGUAAUGACUGAGACCCAUCCACACGGGAAACCGUGUCUCAAGACCUCGCCAAUAACCCAAUUACUCGUCCUCCAAUCUGUGGCCAACUUCCCCCUUCAGUCACCUCUUGCUAUGAAGAGGUAAGAGAGACCUAGACUGAGUCUUCAUUCCUAGCUUCUGGUUUCAAGUUGAUGACACCACCUGCCUGGAGUCCUCAUUCAGAUCCUACCAUAAUUGACUGACUGGAAAAUAGACUCAUGAAUCUGAUGUCACCACCAUAAACUAGCACUUGAAUGAUUUACCCUGUCAGAGCCUUGGAACUUGAAAUUUCCAGAAAAAUUCUAGCCCCAAAGAAGGAGACUUCUAUGGAGACAGAUUCAAGACACAAACAGGAAUGCUGAAGAAGCUGAAGUUGAACCAUUCUAUGAAGACCUACAAGACCUUCUAGAACUAACACCCUAAAAAGGUGUCCUUUUCAUUACAGGGGACUGGAAUGCAAAAGUAGGCAGUCAAGGAUACCUGGAUUAACAGGCAAAUUAGGCCUUGGAUUACAAAACAAAGCAGGUCAGAGGCUAACAGACUGUUGCCAAGAGAAUGCACUGGUCAUAGCAAACACCCUCUUCCAACAACACAGGAGAAGACUACACACGAACAUCACCAGAUGGUCAAUACCGAAAUCAGAUUGAUUAUAUUCUUUGCAGCCAAAGAUGAAGAAUAUAGUCAGGAAAAACAAGAUCGGGAGCUGACUGUGGCUCAGAUCAUGAACUCCUUAUUGCAAAAUUCAGACUUAAAUUGAAGAAAGUAGGGAAAACCACUAGACCAUUCAGUUCAGUGCAGUUUAGUCGCUCAGUCAUGCCCGACUCUUUGCAACCCCAUGAACUGCAGCACACCAGGCCUCCCUGUCCAUCACCAACUCCCAGA